CACGUAGGGGGCGAGCGUUGUCCGGAUUUAUUGGGCGUAAAGAGCGUGUAGGCGGCCAAGCAGGUCCGUUGUGAAAACUGGAGGCUUAACCUCCAGACGUCGACGGAAACCGCGCGGCUAGAGUCCGGAAGAGGAGAGUGGAAUUCCUGGUGUAGCGGUGAAAUGCGCAGAUAUCAGGAAGAACACCAAUGGCGAAGGCAGCUCUCUGGGACGGUACUGACGCUGAGACGCGAAAGCGUGGGGAGCGAACAGG
This 253-nucleotide ribosomal RNA is filed under the name uncultured bacterium. Its description in RNAcentral is "partial 16S ribosomal RNA". It matches the Rfam family "Bacterial small subunit ribosomal RNA", at positions 524 to 776 of the family's 1533-position model. The record is from RNAcentral.